RNAcentral lists this long non-coding RNA (1093 nucleotides) under Equus asinus (donkey). RNAcentral describes it as "lncRNA (ENSEASG00005038026.1)". Lineage: Eukaryota; Metazoa; Chordata; Mammalia; Perissodactyla; Equidae. The record is from RNAcentral.
AUUUUUUAAAGUGUAUGUAUAGUAGAGAGGAAGAACUGACAGCUUAGAAGAGAAAUGAUCUUUGAAUCACAGUCUGUUUUCAACCUGGUGCACUAAAAAGUUAUUACGUGCCCUUUGUCUAUUCUACCCGAUGGUAGAGAGUUAUUAUCUCACUUAACGUACAUGAGUAAUUUCAAUUGUAAGCAAAUUAAUAGAAUGACAAAACAGAAUUAAUAGAAUGAUAGGAGAUUCCUCACUUCUAGAAAAAGCUGAAAAUGCUGAGUGGUUGUUAUGUUACCUUCUGCUAUGCUGUCUACAGGACUGUUAGUCUGAUUAAUAACAUGGCCAACACUCUGACCCUUUCUUAUCCUCAGACACCUGUACUCACAUAGAGCAACAGCUCUUUGAUGUUGCUGUUUUCUGAUACUGGGCCCCAAAUUCAGAAGAAUAAAAUUGGCCUUGUGUCUUUUUCUAAGCUAGGUAACACAAAAGGUUUACCACCCAUCCCCACCCCCAAAACCCUUGACAUAGCACUCUCAAGCAUCAAAGGAUGUUAAAAACAUAGAGAUAGGGGCCAGCCCAGUGGCAUAACACUUAAAUAUGUGCACUCUGUUUCAGCCUCCUGGGGUUCACAGGUUUGGAUCCCAGAUGCGGACCUACAGACUGCUGGUCGUGCCACACUGUGGCAGCAUCCCACACACAAAAUAGAGGAAGAUUGGCACAGAUGUUAGCUCAGGGACAAUCUUCCUCAAGCAAGAAGAGGAAGAUUGGCAACAGAUGUUACCUAAGUAUAGGAGUGAGCUGUCUUUCCCAGAAAGUCAAGGUCCAGACAUCAAGACUCAGCCUCACAAGGCCAAAUGCAGUCUGAAGAUGAAAACUAACCAGAAAAGUUCAAACAGUCAAAGAAAGAGAAAGUCAGUCUUCAAGGUCAAACACAGGCUAGUGGAAAGGUGCCACCCAGCAUGGCCACAUGCUACCCCUCCCCUCUUCAAACCCCAGCACAUGCUCUCCUUCCCCUUUCUAAACCCCCUAGCUUUUUCCCUUCGAGGAGGUGGAUCUGAGUUCUAACUCCCAUCUCCUCCUCUGUCUGCCUUUCAAUAGUAAAGCUCUUUCC